GACGAACGCUGGCGGCGUGCUUAACACAUGCAAGUCGAACGAUGAAGUUCCUUCGGGAAUGGAUUAGUGGCGAACGGGUGAGGAACACGUGAGAAACCUGCCUUUCAUUUUGGGAUAACUCCGGGAAACCGGGGCUAACACCGAAUACUCCGUCUCGGCGGCAUCGCUGAGCCGGGAAAAAAUUUUGAUGAAAGAUGGUCUCGCGGCCUAUCAGCUAGUUGGUGAGGUAAUGGCUCACCAAGGCAACGACGGGUAGCCGGCCUGAGAGGGCGAGCGGCCACACUGGGACUGAGACACGGCCCAGACUCCUACGGGAGGCAGCAGGGGGGAAUAUUGGGCAAUGGGCGCAAGCCUGACCCAGCGGCGCCGCGUGAGGGAUGAAGGCCUUCGGGUUGUAAACCUCUUUCAGUAGGGAGGAAGCGAAAGUGACGGUACCUAAAGAAGAAGCACCGGCUAACUAUGUGCCAGCCGCCGCCGUAA
RNAcentral lists this ribosomal RNA (480 nucleotides) under uncultured bacterium. RNAcentral's name for it is "partial 16S ribosomal RNA". It matches the Rfam family "Bacterial small subunit ribosomal RNA", at positions 28 to 523 of the family's 1533-position model. The record is from RNAcentral.